GGCCCAAAUGGUGGGCGUUUAGACUAGAACCUGGGGAUGCUUGUCUACUCGAAGUCCAACUCCGAAUAUGGCUUGGAUUUGUUCCAGAGAGGGUGAAAGCCCCGUAUGGGUAGACCUACUUGUUUUAAGCAUUCCUUACAUGUUCUGGUCUUAGAGUCGGAUUGCUUGAGAAUGCAGUCCAAAGUGGGUGGUAAACUCCAUCCAAGGCUAAAUACCUGCACGAGUCCGAUAGUAGACAAGUACCGCGAGGGAAAGUUGAAAAGUACUCUGAAGAGAGAGUAAAUAGUACGUGAAGCCGCCUGUAUGGAAGCUGGUGGAGUCAAGCUUCUUAUUGUGGUAAUUGGCAUGGAGAUGUUUGUUCGUGGAUAAAGGGCUCAUUGGCUUGGAAAUAACCUGAUGGUUCGCCAUUGCAUUUAUUCCUGGCAGUAUACUUGUUGUGGGCCCCGAUCUCCAGUCUCUUAUGCUAUUUGCCAUGAUAGUUAUCACAGUCAAUGUACAUCGUUAUGUGUGGUAGUUAAACUGUGUUAUAGUGGGUGUCAUGCUCACUAGGCAUGGGAUAGCAGGUGGAUGUAUCUGGAUUUAUCCAUUUACUUCGUAUUAUAACUUUUGCUUGCUGACUAUCAUGCGUCAAUAAUCGUGUAUAUUGGUCUUAUUAUGGCAAUGUCCGAAAUGGUAAUUGUUAUAAAGAACUGUGGUAUUGAGGUAGACGUUCCAUCCGACCCGUCUUGAAACACGGACCAAGGAGUUUAACACUUCCGCGAGUCAAUGGGCUUAUUACGAAACCCAAUGGCGUAAUGAAAGUAAAAGAUCGCUUGUACUGAUCCAAGUGUGAUGCUUGCGUGCCUUGAAUAGGCUGUGAGCCGCAACACCGGCCCGUCUCGUAAUGUAGUCGAGUUACUACGUAGUCUCGCAUCAUUGAGCGGAGCAGAGCGGAGUGGUUGAGACCGAAGAGUGGUACAAUAUAUACACAAAGGGGG
RNAcentral lists this ribosomal RNA (977 nucleotides) under Cornudiscoides sp. n. CE. RNAcentral describes it as "partial large subunit ribosomal RNA". It matches the Rfam family "Eukaryotic large subunit ribosomal RNA", at positions 134 to 848 of the family's 3401-position model. Lineage: Eukaryota; Metazoa; Platyhelminthes; Monogenea; Dactylogyridea; Ancylodiscoididae. The record is from RNAcentral.